UCAGAGAUACCGUCCUGUAGGCCUUCGUC
RNAcentral lists this small RNA (29 nucleotides) under Bombyx mori (domestic silkworm). RNAcentral describes it as "ovarian small RNA-25603". Lineage: Eukaryota; Metazoa; Arthropoda; Insecta; Lepidoptera; Bombycidae. The record is from RNAcentral.